CGCAUCUGUGCAUGCAGCAUAUCAAUAAGCGGAGGAAAAGAAACUAACAAGGAUUCCCCUAGUAACGGCGAGUGAAGCGGGAAGAGCUCAAAUUUGAAAUCUUAAAGGGUUUCCCUUUACGAAUUGUAGUUUAAAGAAGUGUUUUCUGUUGAGGUUUUGGUAAAAGUUCUUUGGAAUAGGACAUCAUAGAGGGUGAGAAUCCCGUAUUUGACCUUUACUUUCAACUUUGUGAUACACUUUCAAAGAGUCGGAUUGUUUGGGAAUGCAGUCCAAAAUGGGUGGUAAAUUUCAUCUAAAGCUAAAUAUUGGCGAGAGACCGAUAGCGAACAAGUACCGUGAGGGAAAGAUGAAAAGAACUUUGAAAAGAGAGUUAAACAGUACGUGAAAUUGUCAAAAGGGAAGCGUUUGACACCAGUGUUGUUUUUCUGAAAAUCAAUUAAAGAACUGUUUAUGCUAAGUCUGUUUAGACUUUAUCAGCUAAUCUGUUUAGUUUUGAGCUUUUCUUUAAUGCACUUUUCAGUUAACAAGUCAACAUCAAUUUCUUUUGCUGUAAAAAAGCUUGAGGAAGGUGGCUUGAGAUUCGUCUUAAGUGUUUAUAGCCUCUUGCCUAUGCAGUCGGAGAGAUUGAGGUCUGCAGCGUAGAUCCUUCGGGGCUAAAUGCAUUUGUGCUAAGUUAUAGCAUUUUAUAGACAACUUGUUGACUAUGAUUUGUCUUGUAGCUUACUCGCUUAUGUUAUUUUACCUACGCUUAGGAUGUUGAACGCGCACAGAGUCUC
RNAcentral lists this ribosomal RNA (776 nucleotides) under uncultured Neocallimastigales. Its description in RNAcentral is "partial large subunit ribosomal RNA". It matches the Rfam family "Eukaryotic large subunit ribosomal RNA", at positions 26 to 634 of the family's 3401-position model. The record is from RNAcentral. Lineage: Eukaryota; Fungi; Neocallimastigomycota; Neocallimastigomycetes; Neocallimastigales.